UGUAGAGCCGGAUUUGCGCGGCAGAGUUGACGGCAGAAAGGGCUCCCCGGUAACCCGGCGGUGCUGGCCGCCCCGAGAGGCGCCUCGAGGGCUCCCGGAGGAGGCGGCGUGGCCGAGCGAGGAGUGCGGGGAGGCCAAUCUUUGAGCCCCGUCUGGGCGCGGCGCUGGAUGGCUGGGGUCUGCGCGCGUCCCUGCGGUCGGAGGGGCCCGAGACCAGAGCCGCCGCGCGCGCACCGCGCCAGGUCCCGGCACCUUGGCCAGUGUCUGCUAUGUAGCAGGGGUACUCUGUAAAAACUGUAGAUGGGUGAACGGAGUCGCAUCUCCCGGCCUGCACAUCAAAAUAGUUGAACCACCUCGUGUCUCAGUGCCUACUUCUGUCGUUCAAUGAGAGCAAUUGCCAGCAUAUUAGUCAGAUUUUUUUUUUUUUUUUACAUAAAAAUAAAGACAGUAAUUUUCUGAACGAG
Molecule: long non-coding RNA, 464 nt
Organism: Herpailurus yagouaroundi (jaguarundi)
Lineage: Eukaryota; Metazoa; Chordata; Mammalia; Carnivora; Felidae
Exons: 2
Source: RefSeq, a predicted model, not a curated record